Molecule: long non-coding RNA, 335 nt
Organism: Mirounga angustirostris (Northern elephant seal)
Lineage: Eukaryota; Metazoa; Chordata; Mammalia; Carnivora; Phocidae
Exons: 3
Source: RefSeq, a predicted model, not a curated record
AUCCUUCAGAUGAUCUCAGAUGACCCACAUCAUUUCUUAUGCAUCCUACUGAGAUAAUCACCAGAGUGGAUUUUGGCUGAUAGACACUGGUGCCCGGAAGACCAAUCCAAAUGAAGAGCCAGAGUCAAGAUCCUGAUUCCUUGCCUGCCAUCACUCCCAAAGUAGCCUUUCUCAUGCAUCCAGUCUAGCUUGUUGCAUAGAAGAGAAAAAACAAGAGCUCACCAGCCUUCCGAGAACUGUAUGUAACUCAGGUUUUUAAAUCAUCACAGAUACCAAAUGGAGAUAUUCCUGUAACACCUUCCUCAUAUAAGCUGAGAAUUCAGAAUUACAGGACA